Small nuclear RNA from Pongo abelii (Sumatran orangutan), 107 nucleotides. The record is from Ensembl. NCBI's taxonomy places the organism in Eukaryota, Metazoa, Chordata, Mammalia, Primates, Hominidae.
GCGCUCACUUCGGCAGCACAUGUACUAAAAUUGGAAUGAUACAGAGAAGAUUAGCAUGGCCCUUGCUCAAGGAUGACAUGCAAAUUCAUAAAGCAUUCCAUAAAAAU